GGGGGAAGGAGACAGGGAUACUGGAGUGAUGGAGGUAGAUAUGUAUAGGGGGAAGGAGACAGGGAUACUGGAGUGAUGGAGGUAGAUAUGUAUAGGGGGAAGGUGACAGGGAUACUGGAGUGAUGGAGGUAGAUAUGUAUAGGGGGAAGGAGACAGGGAUACUGGAGUGAUGGAGGUAGAUAUGUAUAGGGGGAAGGGGACAGGGAUACUGGAGUGAUGGAGGUAGAUAUGUAGAGGGGGAAGGAGACAGGGAUACUGGAGUGAUGGAGGUAGAUAUGUAUAGGGGGAAGGAGACAGGGAUACUGGAGUGAUGAGGUAGAUAAGUAUAGGGGAAGGAGACAGGGAUACUGGAGUGAUGGAGGUAGAUAUGUAUAGGGG
Molecule: long non-coding RNA, 378 nt
Organism: Oncorhynchus tshawytscha (Chinook salmon)
Lineage: Eukaryota; Metazoa; Chordata; Actinopteri; Salmoniformes; Salmonidae
Source: Ensembl